Long non-coding RNA from Gossypium arboreum, 542 nucleotides. RefSeq lists it as uncharacterized. Lineage: Eukaryota; Viridiplantae; Streptophyta; Magnoliopsida; Malvales; Malvaceae. The transcript is spliced from 3 exons. The record is from RefSeq and is a predicted model, not a curated record.
UGCCUUUUCAUUUCGUAUCACUAACUCGGAGCAAAACUUUUUUCUUUGCCUGUUAAACGCAGCGUGGAAGUUUAUUUUAACUGUCGGCCCGUUUGGAGCUGUCCAUCUACCUGACUGUAACCUUCGCCCUGUUUAUGCCCACUCCGAACGGAAUACUCCCUUGUCGCCUCUCCGUGCCAUACGAUGUGAUCUUUUUGCGCAUUCAUCGACAAAGGAAUGCAUAAAAUUCUCUCAGCAUCUCUCUCUGUGAAGUGCUCGAAAGCUCGCGAAGGUUGGAUAUUAUCGAAGCAUUGUCACACUAUCAACUAGUUAUUUUGGGUGUAUAUAUGGCUAAAUUAUUUUGUUAUAAUGGCAUGUAUAGGACAACUUGACAAUUAGUGGCAUGAAAAUGAUGUUUUGUAGCCUAGCCAUUGGAAUGACUAGUAAUGGCUUAUUUUGGUAUAAUUAAGUAGGUUAUUAUGAUAUAUUCAUAUGUGAUAUGUUAAGUAUAUGCAAUCAAAUGAUGUUAAUGCCUAAGCUAAUCCAAGGUAAGUUUAUAAACA